UUUCCAUUCUAAAUUUCUAUAGAGAAGCAACUUGGCCUACUGGAAAGAGUCCAGGCCUGGGAGUCAGAGGACCUGGGUUCUAAUCCCAGUUCUGCUCCUUACCUGCUGUGUGACCUUGGACAAGUCACUUCACUUCUCUGUGCCUCACUUCCCUCAUCUGCAAAAUGGGGAUUCCAUACCAGUUCUUCCUCCUGCUUAGACUGUGAGCCCCACUGUGGGACUUGAUUGUCUUGUAUUUACCCAAGCACUCAGUACAGUGCUUGACACAUAGUAAGCAUUUUACAAAUAACACAAUUAUCAUUAUUUAAUCUUCAAGGGCCUGGAAGAGACCAGAGCGAUAUCUAUAACACUCUGCUUCCCGGCUUGCUGCUUAUUACAGGAGGAGUUGGUACCGAACCCUAGAAAAAGCGGGCUGUACGGCGUGACACCGGUCCGCCCGGUCUAGCGGCAAGCUAUUUCAGAGCUCAGCUCUCCGGCUACGUUGCUCGGCUUAUAAAGAUCCCUGAACCCCGGCUAGGAAGACAGUCUUGUGAACCGAGAAGGCUGAUGGCAAGCCAACGAGGCAGAGUACAACCUCCGCUUCAUACUGCUUAUGGAGAUGACAACCCACCCCCCGACACCAAAAAGACCCGGUGACAUCCCUGAAGCAGAUUUCCACAGCCACUGCUGACCCCGAAGGACAGUGGGGACACGCUGGCUAAUCCCCAUUUCUACCACCAUAAAAAUGAAAUCCCUAAAUCCCUUGCAGAUGUGAGGCCUACUCUGUCGACUGUCUGAUCAGAGAUCCUCAGUGACCAUCCAGGCUGCUAAAAUCUUAAUUAGACAUCUCGGGGAGGGCCUACCGCUCCUCCUCUUCCCGACGGAGCUUUGAUCGGUCAGCCGGCCGGACACGAUUCUGUUUCCCUGGAGCAUCGGGCCUCGCCGUGGGUUUAUGCUAUCUCCGAGGCGGAAUCCUCUCAUCCGACCAAUUAUCUCUCCCUGGAAUUUUCUACAGCAGGAUGG
This 1002-nucleotide long non-coding RNA is filed under the name Ornithorhynchus anatinus (platypus). RNAcentral's name for it is "lncRNA (ENSOANG00000048544.1)". The record is from RNAcentral. Lineage: Eukaryota; Metazoa; Chordata; Mammalia; Monotremata; Ornithorhynchidae.